UACAGAGGGUGCGAGCGUUAAUCGGAAUUACUGGGCGUAAAGCGCGCGUAGGCGGCUUUGCAAGUCGGGUGUGAAAUCCCCAGGCUUAACCUGGGAACUGCAUUCGAGACUGCAUUGCUAGAGUAUGGGAGAGGGAAGUGGAAUUCCUGGUGUAGCGGUGAAAUGCGCAGAUAUCAGGAGGAACACCGGUGGCGAAGGCGGGUCUCUGGGCCGAUACUGACGCUGAGGAGCGAAAGCGUGGGGAGCGAACAGG
Molecule: ribosomal RNA, 253 nt
Filed under: uncultured bacterium
Lineage: Bacteria
Description: partial 16S ribosomal RNA
Rfam family: Bacterial small subunit ribosomal RNA
Source: RNAcentral